AGGUGGAUCCUGGCAUUAGCAAGAUGAGUUGAGUCCUGGAGUUGAUCUGUAAGACCAGUAACUCUGUCCUGCUCUGGGCGUAGAUGGACACCGGUUGCAGUUUUGCAAUGCACCUAUUCCAGAUUUCAGACUCCCAGCCCACGAAACUGCGAGGAUUUGCUGCUUUUUUGCUCUUCAGCUUCUUGGCAGGAGCAGGAGACGGAGCAGCGUCUUUAACAGCGGGGAAGAGCAACUCGUGGUGCCUGAUCAUCACCGUCAUCACCUUCUGGAUCAUCGGGGUCCCUGUGAAGAGUGUAUGUGUGGUAUCUGUAAGCAAUAUCUCAGAUCUGAUCCAAAACUAAAUAUAAAAUAAACCCAACCAAGCAUCAGAAUGUAACUGAUAAAUAAUUAGAUAGUUAACAGCUUCCAGUUUCUCAAUCAUGGACAUUUUGCUCAUAGUCUAAUUAAGAAGUCAGGGAAAACACAGGGCCAGGAUAGAGAAAGAUUGGUGUAAAACAUCAGGAACAUCAGGAACAUCAGGACAUCUGAACGCUGCUUAUAGCGAAGCGUAGACGGUAAAAGGGUUAAUAUUGAUGUCCAGAAGAUGGCGCUGUAAAGCAGCUGAAAGCUGCUGGUAGAUUUAUUUACUAAUUAUAUUUAAAUCUAAUUAAUAAUAAUAAUAAUAAGUGAGUUUUUAAACUGAUUAAAGAAAUUUUAUUUUCAUGACA
This is a long non-coding RNA of Ictalurus punctatus (channel catfish), 707 nucleotides long. RefSeq lists it as uncharacterized. The record is from RefSeq and is a predicted model, not a curated record. The transcript has 2 exons. Lineage: Eukaryota; Metazoa; Chordata; Actinopteri; Siluriformes; Ictaluridae.